Molecule: RNA transcript, 2591 nt
Organism: Vigna radiata var. radiata (mung bean)
Lineage: Eukaryota; Viridiplantae; Streptophyta; Magnoliopsida; Fabales; Fabaceae
Exons: 3
Source: RefSeq, a predicted model, not a curated record
GUAACUCUGCCCUACCAAAAUCAACCCACGUAGUAUGCAGACAUGCCAUCAGAUUACACGUGUUAUUUCGUACUGUCACUCUUGUUUUCUGCCACGUUUUCUGCCCUUUUAGUAAUCUAGAAAAUUUCUGUCAAGUGAGUGAACAUUCUUAUAUGGAAAAUGUUUCUUUAACACUCCUUUUUGACACAAAUUUGAUAUGGUCAGGUGUCAAAUUUCUAUUAGAUGUUGUUACUUAAAUGAAAAAUCGUUGCUGAGGAGGGUAGUUUUGGAAUUAUGAUGAAAUGAAAUUUCAUUUUGGCAGUUUCGUUGUUCACUUUCAUUUUGAACUUUCUCUUCUAUUUGUCUCUUCCAUUCGACUUCAUCUCUCCAAUUCCUUGCAUUCUCCAUUCGGCUUUCAUCUCAUCCGAAGGCCUCAUUUCAACCAAAACAAGAGUUCUUUCACAAUCAUUCUAUUGAGUUUUAAUGGCUUCCAGAAACCCAAAGCUUUAAAGGUGCCCAGUUCAAAGUGGAGCAGAUAUGAAUAAGAACAAAAGAAGUAUCUCUGCAAUCUCACUAAGUAUGAAACAAAAACCAAAUUAUGAAAAUAUUUUAGAUUCCAUCAAAGUAAACUAGAACUGUCCAACUAAAUAUUUAGUUGCCUUAGGAUUGAGCUAGUAGUAAGGGAUUUGGAUAGUUUGCAUCAAGUCAUAGUUUCAGAAUUCAUUGUUACCAAUGUAUAAAAAAUAUUUAGUAAACCCUCUGUAUCAUUCUUCUGCAUACUAUCAGUAGUACCCCCGGGUGUGAAUUUACAAUGUAAAUACUGAAACGAAAACAAAAAGGGGGUAUUGAAGAGAGAUGAUGCACCCUUCCUUUCUCUUUACUGGCUUCUUACCUUUCUGCAUCACAUCCCUCUCCUCCUUUAAUAAUCUAUACAGAUAAACACUCCACCUAAAUACCUUUGUUUACCUUAUUGGUAAUCUGUUACAUAAGUGCACAAAUUGAAACAUGAUGAAGGAUUAAGAAGGAGUGGAUACAUUAUAGAUAAGGAAUUGUGUGAUUUUGUAUGGGGUCUUUGAUGAUCCUUUUGUAAUUUUUUUUAUUUAUUUUGUAAUUAGAAACUCUCUUUGAACAUUAAUGGCCACUAGGAUUAUUAAAUCGCUUGUUGGAUGAACCUAAUUAGUUGGAUGAGCCUAGUGGACUUUGGUCCACAGCAUAGGUAUUUGUUGAAUUUUGUUAAUUAGUUUUGAUUAAUUCGUGUAUGAAGCUUUAUGCUCCUGGAGCUACCUUUUUUGCAAAUCCUAAUAGCAACUUUUUUUUGUAUAACCAUUCAGAAAUGUAAAGCUUCUCUAACUCCAGUUUUAUUACCCAUAUACACAAUAUUUUCAGCAAAGUAUCAAACUACUGUUUUGAGGAAAAGAUAUUUCUUAGGUUCACAGUUUUACUAAAUCAAUCCAUCAACAAAAGAAAAAGAACAGUUCUAGCCUAAAUGUAAAUCCAUAGAUUACCAAUGCUGGUAGACAGUUGAUAUUGUUGUAGUGUGCAUCAAUUGUCCUGUGGUUUAGUCUAUGUGGAACAAGUCAUUUUUUAAUAGUGGUGCUUGGGCUGUUACACAUUUAAAUAGAAAGAGUUUAAACUUUGAUUAUCAGCUAUAACUUUUGAUCUAGGAAUACACAGUGGAGCAAUUGUUCAGGGGGAGAUUGUUGCAGGAUGCAUCAAUUGUCUGUGGCGUAGGCGAGGUGGAUCAAGGCACAAUUGAAUGGUGAUGCUUGGGCUCAUACACUCUUAAGUAGUAAGAGUUGCGCCCUAACCAUCAACUAUACAUAGCUUUUAGUUUAGUAGUAAGCACUCCAUCAAACAACUAUAUCUAUCAUGGUACAUAACAUUGAAAAAUGAUAAGUUUAUGAUCAAACUGUUAUUCAAUGCUUGUUUUUACUUUAGGGCUUUGACAGUGGAACACAUUCAACCUGACAAACCAGAGCAGUAACACAAGCAAGAAUGUUAUGUUUACCAGUCCCCCAUUGUACGAACCUAUGAAAAUUGCUAGUUCAGCAAUUCAGUCAUCUUAUAAUAUCUUAUACAUUCGGGUAUAUUGGAAUUAGAGUUUAAGUUUUGUUGCCACUCCUCAAAAUCUUCAUUGGUCAUAAAAAAAAAUUCUAUUUUAGGUUUCUGCUGCAUAUCAGCUUAUGCUAAUUGCUUUACCAACAUACGCAGUUCCAGAAACAACACAUCCCCACAUAAAACCAUAAGUCACAAGCAAAAAAUUGAACUAAAUCUGUUCACGUUUAGUGUUUACCAAUACCACCACGAUAAGAAUUCUACAAUAGUUUUAUCAUUCAUUAGAGAUUAGAAUAAUCACAUAACAACCGUAGCAAAUAUCUUACAAGAUCUUAAUUUAAUCCGGCUUAAGACUUGUCAAAUAAGUUUGAAAUAAAUAGCCAAUGGACCACUACGGUGUCUACAAAAUAAACCUCCCCCAUUGUUGCUUUUUAUCUAAGCGCAGUUCAAAUGUUACACAAUUAAAAGAACAUAGCAAAAGACAUUUACGUGAUACAAUACAAAUACAUUAAGUAAAUAAUACUAAAGACUAGACAGAAAGUACCAUAUUUGACAGA